This 438-nucleotide ribosomal RNA is filed under the name Capnocytophaga sp. oral taxon B29. RNAcentral describes it as "bacterial SSU rRNA". It matches the Rfam family "Bacterial small subunit ribosomal RNA", at positions 28 to 472 of the family's 1533-position model. Lineage: Bacteria; Pseudomonadati; Bacteroidota; Flavobacteriia; Flavobacteriales; Flavobacteriaceae. The record is from RNAcentral.
GAUGAACGCUGGCGGCAGGCCUAACACAUGCAAGUCGAGGGAUAAGCCCUUCGGGGUGAAAACCGGCGCACGGGUGCGUAACGCGUAUGCAACCUACCUUUCACAGGGGUAUAGCCCGAAGAAAUUUGGAUUAAUACCCCAUAAUAUUGUUGGAUGGCAUCAUCUGAUAAUUAAAGUUACGAUGGUGAAAGAUGGGCUGCGUCCUAUUAGCUAGUUGGAGUGGUAACGGCACCCCAAGGCUACGAUAGGUAGGGGUCCUGAGAGGGAGAUCCCCCACACUGGUACUGAGACAGGGACCAGACUCCUACGGGAGGCAGCAGUGAGGAAUAUUGGUCAAUGGUCGAAAGACUGAACCAGCCAUGCCGCGUGCAGGACAGACGGCCCUAGAGGUUGUAAACUGCUUUUAUAUGGGAAGAAUAAGGAGUACGAGUACUUUGA